CCCUUAGAUGUCCUGGGCUGCACGCGCGCUACACUGAUGUGUCCAGUAAGCACCUAACCUCUUCCGAAAGGAACGGGUAACCUUUGCAAAGCACAUCGUGAUGGGGAUAGAUUAUUGCAAUUAUUAGUCUUGAACGAGGAAUUCCUAGUACGCACAAGUCAUCAGCUUGUGUUGAUUACGUCCCUGCCCUUUGUACACACCGCCCGUCGCUCCUACCGAUUGAAUGUUCCGGUGAGCUCUUCGGACUGCGCGGUCUGCAGUUUCUGCGUUCCGUGCGGAAAGUUGCGCAAACCUUAACAUUUAGAGGAAGGAGAAGUCGUAACA
Molecule: ribosomal RNA, 324 nt
Filed under: uncultured eukaryote
Lineage: Eukaryota
Description: partial 18S ribosomal RNA
Rfam family: Eukaryotic small subunit ribosomal RNA
Source: RNAcentral